ACCUCAUCUUAACAAAUACAUCUGCAAAGACCCUAUUUCCAAGCAAGGUCACAUUCAUAGUUACAGGGAUAUGGUGUUAGUUAGAGCUUCAUAUUAAUUUAAGGGACACAUUUCAACCCAUAACGGUAGAUAAAGAUCGUAUGGCGUUCAACAAACUGGUCGGUGUGGUGAACAUGUUUCUUUAAAAGAAUACAAUAGUACCCCUUAUCUGCACUUCACUUUCUUUGGUUUUAGUUACCCAAAGACAACCACCAUCUGAAAAUACUAAAUGGCUAAUUCCAGAAGUAAACAACUAAUACAUUUUAAAUUUAAUGCCAUUUUGACUAAUGUAAUGAAAUCUCCAUCCCACUUAGGACAUUAAUCAUCUCUUUGUUCAGUGUUAUCCACACAGUAUAUACUACCUGCCCAUUUGUGGGUUAGCUGUCUAUUAUCAGAUCAACUGUAGCAGUACUGCAGUGCUUGUUUUCAAGUAAUCCUAUUUUACUUAAUUAUGGACCCAAAGUACACAAAUAGUGAUGCUAGCAAUCAUCUGUGUCAAAGAGAAGCCAUAAAGUGCCUUCUUUGAGUGAAAGGUUAGUACAGUACAUUAAGAUAUUUUGAGACAGACCACAUUCACAUAAGUUUUAUUAUGGUAUAUUGUUCUAUUUUAUUAGUUAUUGUUAGUAAUCUCUUACUAUGCCUGAUUUAUAAAUUAAACUUUAUCAUAGGUAGGUAUGUAUGUAUGCAUGUUUGUGUAUAUGGGAAAAACAUAGCAUAUAUAGGGUUUGGUACUAUCUGCAUUUUCAGGCAUAAACUGAGGGUUCUGGAACAUAUUCCUUACACAUAAGGGGAAGCUACAGUAUGUAUUUCCUUUUUGUGGGUCUCAAGAUGGCUUUUAUCCUUGACUUUGUCUGUUCUUUUUCUAAGUUAAGUCCACAUUUGACACAUGCAGACCAAAGCUGCACCCCAAUUACUUUUCAGUUCACUCUAAGCUGGCUUUUUUUUUCUCUCUAGUAUCUCUCUAUCAUUGUCCACCAACACUUCUGUUUUAAAGUUCAGUUCUUGGCUCUGUGACAGUAUAUUUUUGUGGAUUUCUUCCUUCAUCACUAGCUACUCCUUAGUCACCUUAGCUGUCAACUUUUCCUUUACCCAACAUUCAGGUUUGCUGCAUUUCAGGGGCUCUGUCCCAGGAUGCUUUCUUUUCUCGCUCAAAUUUUUCUCCGUGACUCUAAUUUUAUAUCUCCAGUUCAGUUUAUUUCUUUGUGCUCUAUGCAUAUAAAUGAAUGAUCUUCAUGUAAGUCUCUUAUAAGCAUCUCAGACUUAAUGUGUCUUCAGUGGAGUUCUUUGUUUCUUCCUCAAAACUUGUUCCGCUCCUCCCUCGCAGGUUUCGUAUUUCAGAAAAUGCUAGUGGUACUGUCCUGCCCUACUAUCGAAGUAGGAAUUAGGAAAUAUCUUUCAUUCCUCUCCUUUUACUUACUAUGCAUCCCCUAGUUCUGUUGACUUCCUUUAGAUUACAUUCACUGCUACUGUACUAGUCCUGACUGCAAACAUUUUUUAAAUCUGGAUAUUAUAUUAGUCUCAUAAAAUAUCUUUGUCCUUUUACUACCCAUUUCCCUAAACCAUUCUCCUCCUAGUACUAAGAAUGGCCUUCUUAAAACAUGAAUUAGAGCAUGAUAAUCUCUUACUUAAAAUCUUUCUGGUUUUUCUUCUGGCGCCCUUCCUUUUUGCUCAGUAGAUUCCACUGAAAUUUAGUCAUCUUUCAUAUUCUUUCAGGUGCAUAUGAAUCUCUUUAUUGCCUUUACACACUUUACAAUGCUUUUCCUUCUACCUGGGCUUUCUUCCCUGGUGUUGUGACUUGGCUAGCUCCUUUUCCUCUCAAUUUCUGCUCAACUAUCAUUUCAAAGAGACCCUCCCUAAUCAUGCUAGCUAAAGUAGAUCCCCAUGUCCGUAACUCUAUCUCAACCUUUUGUUCUGUCAUGGCAUAUACAGUUUGCAAUUACUUUAUUUGUUCCCC
Molecule: long non-coding RNA, 1993 nt
Organism: Phyllostomus discolor (pale spear-nosed bat)
Lineage: Eukaryota; Metazoa; Chordata; Mammalia; Chiroptera; Phyllostomidae
Exons: 2
Source: RefSeq, a predicted model, not a curated record